RNAcentral lists this ribosomal RNA (222 nucleotides) under uncultured Glomeromycotina. RNAcentral's name for it is "partial 18S ribosomal RNA". The stretch from base 40 to 222 matches the Rfam family "Eukaryotic small subunit ribosomal RNA", at positions 686 to 871 of the family's 1831-position model. The record is from RNAcentral. Lineage: Eukaryota; Fungi; Glomeromycota.
GGGUUAGUAGGUUGGUCAUGCCUCUGGUAUGUACUGGUCUCACUGAUUCCUCCUUCCUGAUGAGCCGUAAUGCCAUUAAUUUGGUGUUGCGGGGAAUUUGGACUGUUACUUUGAAAAAUUAGAGUGUUUAAAGCAAGCUAACGCUUGAAUACAUUAGCAUGGAAUAAUGAAAUAGGACGUUCGAUCCUAUUUUGUUGGUUUCUAGGAUUGACGUAAUGAUUA